This is a long non-coding RNA of Aricia agestis (brown argus), 75 nucleotides long. RefSeq lists it as uncharacterized. Lineage: Eukaryota; Metazoa; Arthropoda; Insecta; Lepidoptera; Lycaenidae. The transcript has 3 exons. The record is from RefSeq and is a predicted model, not a curated record.
AUAGUUGGGGUGGGGAAGAGGGGGUUUCGGACAAAGCUCGAGCGUGUCAGAUUAAUCUUCUCAUUUUGCUUUCCG